Molecule: ribosomal RNA, 389 nt
Filed under: uncultured bacterium
Lineage: Bacteria
Description: bacterial SSU rRNA
Rfam family: Bacterial small subunit ribosomal RNA
Source: RNAcentral
AGUGAACGCUGGCGGUAGGCCUAACACAUGCAAGUCGAACGGCAGCACAGGAGAGCUUGCUCUCUGGGUGGCGAGUGGCGGACGGGUGAGGAAUACAUCGGAAUCUACCUUUUUCGUGGGGGAUAACGUAGGGAAACUUACGCUAAUACCGCAUACGACCUACGGGUGAAAGUGGGGACCGGCAAGGCCUCACGCGAUUAGAUGAGCCGAUGUCCGAUUAGCUAGUUGGCGGGGUAAUGGCCCACCAAGGCGACGAUCGGUAGCUGGUCUGAGAGGAUGAUCAGCCACACUGGAACUGAGACACGGUCCAGACUCCUACGGGAGGCAGCAGUGGGGAAUNUUGGACAAUGGGCGCAAGCCUGAUCCAGCCAUACCGCGUGGGUGAAGAA